GUAGGUGAACCUGCGGAAGGAUCAUUUCUGUUUCUGAUUGGUUUCAAUCUGAGUGGAGGGAAACCUCUCUUGGGUUGCCAAUCAAAAAUUGUGAUUGUGUGGUUUCAAUGAAGAUGUCUUUUGUUUGCUUUUUUUCUACCUUCAUUGGUAAAAAAGGGCAAACUCAAGCAUCUAAUUUUUUCAUACUAAACCAAAAACGAUGUUUACUAUUGUAACAUUCUAGAUCGAAAAAGGGGUUCUUUCGGGGAUUCUUUUUGAGAUCGAACAAAAUAACAAACAUACAACUGUCAACGGUGGAUCUCUUGGCUCGU
Molecule: unclassified non-coding RNA, 311 nt
Filed under: rhizosphere metagenome
Description: partial ribosomal RNA internal transcribed spacer region
Source: RNAcentral